Molecule: long non-coding RNA, 3809 nt
Organism: Phlebotomus papatasi
Lineage: Eukaryota; Metazoa; Arthropoda; Insecta; Diptera; Psychodidae
Exons: 2
Source: RefSeq, a predicted model, not a curated record
UACACUAGUAAAAAUAAAACGAUGAUCGGUCAUCUUUUGAGAAAGCUGAUCGAAAUUCGCCUAUUUUUUAUUGAUUUGAAAAGCUGAUUUUCAGUGUUUCCCAAUUGAUGAUAUGUCAUUUAUUCAAAAAGCUGAAAAGUGUUUUCAGAUUUAACAAUAAAUUCUAUCAGAUGUCUGUGGAAAACUUUUUGCUCAGAUCUAAAGAGUAUUCUGAGAGCAAAAUCUUGCAACUUUUCACGAUUUUCCACAAGAAAAUCGAGUAAAAAGUCUUCGUUAUUUCAUCUAUUAGAAACACUGAAAAAAACGUCGCUUAUUUUACAUACAUUCCAACCAUCUUUUAAAUCACUGUAAAUUACUAAUAUUUUCAGACGGGAUUUUCUUGGGGAAAAAUUGGUGGGACUGAGCAGGUUACACAUUUUUUGCCUUUGCUCUGUCCCAAAAAGUAGGUUGAGCAUGAAUUAUUAUUUCAAUUUGCUCUAUUUUGUUUGUAAAACGGGUAAUAUUUUUCGUGCAACUUCAUUUCUUGAAACACUGAAAAACAUCUUUUACAAAUAUCCGUGGUUGACACAUCACAAACAUGUCAGUUGUCAAAGAAAAGGGCGUCAGUGCGGUGGCGUCUUCGUUUUUUCUGCGCAAUUUAUCGCAAAAAAAUAAAUAAAUGGGCACAUUUUCUCCACCAAAACUUUUUGGAGAUGCCCUACGUGUGUGAAGUGCAUUGGAAGUGUAGUGAUGAUGGUGUGAAAGGGAUGUUGGUGCAGUGAAAAGUGAAAGACAUCCCCCUUGCCUCUUGUGCCUGUUGCUGUUGAGGAGAAAACGGGGCAUUUACGCAUAAGAAAGAUCCAAUCUGAGGCAGGUUGAGUUCACCGGAUCCUGCAUCAGCUUGAUCUCCAGGAAUCUCCAGGACAAAUUGUGCUGUGUGCUCCACAUCUUGUAAGACACAUCAGAAACUGCAAGUGUGCAGGUGAAACUGCUUCUCCAGGGAGGAAUUUUGUCAGUAAGUUCGGAUGCCGGACCUUAGAAUCUACUACAAGGAAGACACCCUGGUACAGGAGGUAAGCUGCUGAGAGCUCAAAGUGGUGUGAUCUCAUCUAGAUGCGACAAGAUGCCACACGAGAAAGGAUGAUUGCAGAUCUGCAUUCCCUGUCAGAGAUCGUCAACGAGAUUACAAUCAUCAAAUUUCAGCGUGAGGCAGUUAAUCGAGGCAACCAUUGUUGGGGUGACAGUCGAAGAUGCUCUCCUAACCACUUCCGGAAGGAGAUAAAUAAAGUCACGGAUGGUUGAGAUGAUGGUCUGGAUUCAGAUGGUUCAGGUGGUAAUUCAGGUUGUUCAGGUGAGUUUAAUGAAAAAUUUUAUUUAAUUUUUUCAUGACAGGCUUCUGAUUUUUUUUAAAUAAUUUUUUUUUCUCAAAAUCCCCAUUCUCAAAAAUUUUGGUUUUUGCUAUUGAUCAGUAACAUUGAGUACUAUAUUCCCUAAAAAGAAGAGCUUUCCCUUUUGUGUUUAACUUUUCUUAAAUAAUUAAAAUUUUACCACAUUUUUAAAAUCAAAUAACAUUAGUUGAACUCGAAAUUUAAGUUCAAUAUUUUCGGGAAUAUAGUACUCACUAAAACUUGUGAACAGUUAAAUAAAAUCAUUUUUUUUUUAAUUCGCAUUUAUGAUUUUCUUAUUUUUACAUAAAAAUGUCUUCUAUUGACAAAAAAAACUUCUAGUCAUAUUUAACUCAAGUAGGGGAAAGUACUCUCCCUUCGAACGUUCAUGCCUUCGAAUAAUAUGAAUUUUCUUUUAAUUUUCCUAAGACACCUACACAAUUCUAUUAAAUAUUAGUUAGCUUAUUAUUAAUUAUUCGUAAUUACGUGAUAAUUAUGUGUAAAUCUCUAAGGAAACAUAAAAUUAACUCACAUUAUUCGAAGGCAUGAACGUUUGAAAGGAGAGUACUUUCCCCUACUAUAAGUGUGUUUUGUUUUGUCUUUCCAGUUUUAGAAAAAAUCAAUUAAAAAAAUUUAAAAAAAAAAAAUUUAAAAAAUGAAAUUAAAGUUUAAAAGAUCAACACGUUAACACCUGUGUCAAAUGAUUCUUAAAGUUGUAUUUUUGUCAAUAAGACACAUUUUUAUUUAAAAAUAAAAAAAUAUCUAAAAUGCAAGUUCAAGAAAUUUUGAUUUUUUAACUGUUCAUAAGUUUUAAAGAGUACUCUAUUCUCUGUAAAACUGAACUUCCAAUUUUGUGUUAAACUGGUGUUAUUUAAUUUUUGAAAAUGUCGUAAAAUUUUAAUUAUUUAAAAAACGUUAGACGCAAAAAUGGUAGUUCUCCUUUUUAGGGCAUAUAGUACUCAAUGUUACUGAUCAACAGUAAAAAAUUAAAAUUUUUAAGAAUGGGAAUUUUUGGAAAAAAAAUUCUUUAAAAAAUCAGAACCCUGUCAUGAAAAAAUUGAACUAUGAAAUAAAAUAAAGUUAGAAAAAAUUUCAACCACUUUUCCGGGGUAGAGUGCUUUAAAGUUUUCGUCGAUGCCAUUUUUGACACCCUGUAUCUGAGGCCAAGAAUAUUUUUUAGCAAAGUGAAAAAAAUAUAUGGAUUUUAAUAUAUGUAAAUAAAAAAAGCAUUUAAAACCAUGAUGGAGCGAUUUUCAUUUUUCCCUUCUGAAUUGAGAUUAGAUCUGUCUGAAUUGAGAUUUUAUUUUCAAAACGUGUAUAUUUUGUACACAAUUCUAACCUUUUUUGAAGCCGUGCGAAUUUUAUACACCGUCUUUGGAUUUUUUCUAGCCUUUUUUUUACUAAGGCUGCGUUAGUUUUAUAACUAACCUAAACUGUAUUCGAUUUUUUUUGGAAAAAAAACAAAUGGUCAAUAAAAAGUCAAAAGUGGUCAACAGAAAAUUAAAUUUGAUUAGCAAAUAAUUCGAAAUAAUCAGUAAAAAUUUUCAAUUUUGUCAGUAAAAAGUAAAAUUUUGUCAGUAAGAAGUUAAAUUUGGUCAGUAAAAACUUUGAAUUGAUCAAUAGAUAUAUUCGAGUUGAUCAGUAAAAAAUUAAAAAUUAAUCGGCAAAAAAUUAAAAAUGGUCAGUAAAAAAAAUGGUCAGUAAAAAAUUAAUAAUGAACAGUAAAAAUAUUCGAGUUGAACAGCAAAAAAUUAAAAAUGAGCAGUAAAAUAUAAAAAGUGGUCAGCAAAAAAUUAAAAAUGAUCAUUAGAAAUAUUCGCAUUGAUCAGUGAAAUAUAAAAAAGUGGUCAGCAAAACAUUAAAAAGGAGCAGUAAAAAAUAAAAAUUGGUCAGUAAAAAAUUGAAAGUGGUCAUUAAAAAAUUAAAUGGUCAGUAGAAAAUAGAAAUUGGUCAGUAAAAAAUUAAAAGUACUCAGUAAAAAAUAAAAAUUGAUCAGUAAAAAAUUAAAAGUAGUCAGUAAAAAAUUAUGUGGUCAGUAGAAAAUAGAAAUUGGUCAGUAAAAAAUUAAAAACGAGCAGUAGAAAAUAAAAAGUGGUCAGCAAAAAAUUAAAAGUGGUCAGUAAAAUAAUAAAAAUUUGUCAGUAAAAAUUAAAAGUGAACAGUAAAAAAUUAAAUGUGUUCAGUAAAAAUUAAGUGUUCAGUAAAAAAUUAAAUGUGGUCAGCAAAAAAUAAAAAUUGCUCAGCAAAAAAUUAAAAAUGAGCAGUUAAAAAUAUAAAUUGGUCAGUAAAAAAUUAAAAGUGGUCAGUAAAAAAUAAAAAUUGAUCAGUAAAAAAUUAAAAGUGAACAGUAAAAAAUUAAAUGUGUUCAGUAAAAAAUUAAAUGUGGUUAGAAAAAAAUAAAAUUUGGUCAGUAAAAAAUAAAAAGUGGUCAGUAAAAAACAAAAA